Molecule: ribosomal RNA, 324 nt
Filed under: uncultured eukaryote
Lineage: Eukaryota
Description: partial 18S ribosomal RNA
Rfam family: Eukaryotic small subunit ribosomal RNA
Source: RNAcentral
CCCUUAGAUGUCCUGGGCUGCACGCGCUCUACACUGAUGUGUCCAGUAAGCACCUAACCUCUUCCGAAAGGAACGGGUAACCUUUGCAAAGCACAUCGUGAUGGGGAUAGAUUAUUGCAAUUAUUAGUCUUGAACGAGGAAUUCCUAGUAAGCACAAGUCAUCAGCUUGUGUUGAUUACGUCCCUGCCCUUUGUACACACCGCCCGUCGCUCCUACCGAUUGAAUGUUCCGGUGAGCUCUUCGGACUGCGCGGUCUGCAGUUUCUGCGUUCCGUGCGGAAAGUUGCGCAAACCUUAACAUUUAGAGGAAGGAGAAGUCGUAACA